UUUGAUAAGUUACCUUUAUGUGCAUUUAUAAAAUUUGAAGCCGAAACAAUUUCAACAUAAAAUGUAAAAUAGAAAAACAACCUUUUUAAUAUAGUCUUGUUUCACAUUUUCUCCCACCUGAACAAAUGCAUCCAAUGCAAACACAUUUAUUGGUUCAUAAAAAAUGAAGUAAAAUAGACAUAUACAUGCUAAUUUGGAUAGAAUAAUUAACUACUUAAUAACAAUUUAAAUACUAAAAUCUAAAUUGAAUAAUUAUUCUAAAUUGUGAAUAAAGAAGAAGAAAUAUAUGUGCAAUUGCCUAAAAAAAGAAAAAGAGAAUCAACAUCAAUCCAAACUCGCUAGGUAUGCACCACAUUGACUUGGAAAAGAUAUUCCCAUCCUAAUUUGGUCUAUUCGUAUUGUUCCUAUAUGCAACAAAUAUUAUAUGCAUAUAACUCUUCACUUCAAACCAUAAACACUCAUUGGCAGAAACGAAAGAACUAUUAGAAAAUAAAUUAUAAGAUUUGAAAGAGCACCUUGAAAAGCAAGAAAGUUAUCAUGUUAAGAGGUUGAAUAAAGAUAAGGCAAUAAGAAAAUUAUGGUGUGAAUAGGUUUUUAAAAAGAUGGAGUUAACUGUUAAUAGUAGUUUUUUUCCCUCAAGAAACGUGGGUUAAGUAUUUUUAGGGAUAAGAUUAGUUAUCCAUCUUUUAAAAUUUGAAUUUAAAUCAAUUAUAUAUGCAUUUAAAAAUAUAUACAUUUUCAUAUAAAAAGGAGAAGGAAGAAGGAGUUGUAUUUUAUGUAUAUUUCUUAGUUAGUUCUUUAACAUGGGAUAGGGACAUGCAUAAAUUAGUUUACUUUUUAAAAAUCUUAUAUUUCUGUGUUC
This 862-nucleotide long non-coding RNA is filed under the name Solanum tuberosum (potato). RNAcentral's name for it is "long non-coding RNA (STUB_LNC009034)". Lineage: Eukaryota; Viridiplantae; Streptophyta; Magnoliopsida; Solanales; Solanaceae. The record is from RNAcentral.